CAUGCAAGUCGAGGGGAAACGACAUCGAAAGCUUGCUUUUGAUGGGCGUCGACCGGCGCACGGGUGAGUAACGCGUAUCCAACCUGCCCACCACUUGGGGAUAACCUUGCGAAAGUAAGACUAAUACCCAAUGACGUCUCUAGAAGACAUCUGAAAGAGAUUAAAGAUUUAUCGGUGAUGGAUGGGGAUGCGUCUGAUUAGCUUGUUGGCGGGGUAACGGCCCACCAAGGCUACGAUCAGUAGGGGUUCUGAGAGGAAGGUCCCCCACAUUGGAACUGAGACACGGUCCAAACUCCUACGGGAGGCAGCAGUGAGGAAUAUUGGUCAAUGGGCGAGAGCCUGAACCAGCCAAGUAGCGUGCAGGAUGACGGCCCUAUGGGUUGUAAACUGCUUUUAUAAGGGAAUAAAGUGAGUCUCGUGAGACUUUUUGCAUGUACCUUAUGAAUAAGGACCGGCUAAUUCCGUGCCAGCAGCCGCGGUAAUACGGAAGGUCCGGGCGUUAUCCGGAUUUAUUGGGUUUAAAGGGAGCGUAGGCCGGAGAUUAAGCGUGUUGUGAAAUGUAGACGCUCAACGUCUGCACUGCAGCGCGAACUGGUUUCCUUGAGUACGCACAAAGUGGGCGGAAUUCGUGGUGUAGCGGUGAAAUGCUUAGAUAUCACGAAGAACUCCGAUUGCGAAGGCAGCUCACUGGAGCGCAACUGACGCUGAAGCUCGAAAGUGCGGGUAUCGAACAGGAUUAGAUACCCUGGUAGUCCGCACGGUAAACGAUGGAUGCCCGCUGUUGGUCUGAAUAGGUCAGCGGCCAAGCGAAAGCAUUAAGCAUCCCACCUGGGGAGUACGCCGGCAACGGUGAAACUCAAAGGAAUUGACGGGGGCCCGCACGAGCGGAGGAACAUGUGGUUUAAUUCGAUGAUACGCGAGG
RNAcentral lists this ribosomal RNA (922 nucleotides) under uncultured bacterium. Its description in RNAcentral is "bacterial SSU rRNA". It matches the Rfam family "Bacterial small subunit ribosomal RNA", at positions 54 to 966 of the family's 1533-position model. The record is from RNAcentral.